Small nucleolar RNA from Phoenix dactylifera (date palm), 88 nucleotides. RefSeq annotates it as small nucleolar RNA snoR126. The record is from RefSeq and is a predicted model, not a curated record. NCBI's taxonomy places the organism in Eukaryota, Viridiplantae, Streptophyta, Magnoliopsida, Arecales, Arecaceae.
CGGCUUGCUUACUGAUUAAAUUUCUCGAUUCUGAUAUAUGCUUAAUGCAUAGACCAAAUUGAUGCCUUUUUGUGCGUGUCUGAGCUAA